This 427-nucleotide ribosomal RNA is filed under the name uncultured bacterium. Its description in RNAcentral is "partial 16S ribosomal RNA". It matches the Rfam family "Bacterial small subunit ribosomal RNA", at positions 354 to 796 of the family's 1533-position model. The record is from RNAcentral.
GUGGGGAAUUUUGGACAAUGGGGGAAACCCUGAUCCAGCGACGCCGCGUGAAGGAUGAAGGCCUUCGGGUUGUAAACUUCUUUUGGAGGGGACGAAUAAAUUGACGGUACCCUCAGAAAAAGCCACGGCUAACUACGUGCCAGCAGCCGCGGUAAUACGUAGGUGGCGAGCGUUACUCGGAAUUACUAGGCGUAAAGCGUAUGUAGGCGGUUGUAUAAGUCUAUGGUGAAAUUUCCUGGCUCAACUGGGAAGGGACAUAGAUACUGUAUGGCUUGAGUGUUGGAGGGGGAGACGGAAUUCCUGGUGUAGCGGUGAAAUGCGUAGAUAUCAGGAGGAACACCGAUGGCGAAAGCAGUCUCCUGGCCAAAUACUGACGCUGAGGUACGAAAGCUAGGGUAGCAAACAGGAUUAGAAACCCGUGUAGUCC